CAUGUCCUUUUGAUUAUAAUUUAAGGUCUAACCUGCUCAAUGAUUUUUAAAUUGCCGCAGUAUUCUAACUGUGCAAAGGUAGCAUAAUAAUUAGUUUUUUUAUUGAAAGCUGGAAUGAAUGGUUGGACGAAAAAAUUUCUGUCUCUUUCUAAUUUUUUUUUGAAUUUAAUUUUUAAGUUAAAAAGCUUAAAUUUUUUUAAAAGACGAGAAGACCCUAUAGAGUUUAAUUUUUUACUUUAUUUUUAAUUAUUUGGAAUUUAAAGUUUAAAUUUUGUUUAGAAUUUGGUUGGGGUGAUUAGAGGAUUUAUAAAACUCUUUUAAUUUAUAUCAUUGAUUUAUGAAUAUAAAGUCUAUAUUAAUAAUUUUAAAUUAAAUUACCUUAGGGAUAACAGCGUUAUUUCUUUUUAGAGUUCUUAUUUAAAUAGAAGUUUGCGACCUCGAUGUUGGAUUAAAAUUUAUUUUAGGUGAAGAAGCUUAAAAAUUUAGUCUGUUCGACUUUUAAAAUUUUACAUGAUCUGAGU
This 521-nucleotide ribosomal RNA is filed under the name Stenocladius sp. UPOL 000157. RNAcentral's name for it is "partial 16S ribosomal RNA". The stretch from base 385 to 521 matches the Rfam family "Bacterial large subunit ribosomal RNA", at positions 2473 to 2610 of the family's 2925-position model. Lineage: Eukaryota; Metazoa; Arthropoda; Insecta; Coleoptera; Lampyridae. RNAcentral also lists the same sequence under 1 other name. The record is from RNAcentral.